Molecule: long non-coding RNA, 713 nt
Organism: Pyrus x bretschneideri (Chinese white pear)
Lineage: Eukaryota; Viridiplantae; Streptophyta; Magnoliopsida; Rosales; Rosaceae
Exons: 2
Source: RefSeq, a predicted model, not a curated record
AUGACAUCUUUGUCUGUCUGUUUUCACUUUCUGCUUUCUCGGAGAGCGAAGAAUUUGCAACAGUAUUGGCUAUGACUGUGCAUUUUGCGUUUUGGGCCUAACGGGUUCAUGUUGGCCCGAUUCAAUUCGAAUCUUCCACCGAAUAUAUCCUAUCCUGCAGAAGAAACGACGUCGUUUUUAUCCGUUGCUGCCUUUACAUUCCGCCCCAAGUCCGCGUCAGUUUGGAGUCUUUACCUCCUUUUUAACCUUCUCCCACCUUUCCGCUCAGCCCCUUUGUGCUCCAAAAACCGCACCGACGUCGUUUUCAGGUUACCUAAUUUUGAAAUUAAGGGCGCCGAUGAGUUCUUGUAGCAGGAAGAAGAAUUUCGGGAGCGGCAGCUUCGUAUCGAAUUUGAGGGAUCACAUUCAUGAAUUUCUUCAUGCUUCCAUAGAUGAGCACAGAACUUGCUUGAAAGAGACGGUGCGGAAGAUGUUUGAAAGGGCAAAACUUUACAGAGAAAAGAGUGGCGGCGGACCAAACGAAGGAGAAAAGCCCCUGCCUUUGCAAACCACUACAGAUUAGGAAGAAUUUGCAAGCUUUUCUAUUUUCUGGGUUGCAGAGAAAAAAGAGUACUGUAAGACAAAUUUGAUAUCUUUAUCUUUAGCAUCUGUAUAGGUUGUGUUUGAAACAAUAGUUUGACGAAUGACAUUGAAAUGCUAGCGUCAAUUACUCA